UGAAGUGCAAGGACCCGACAACAAAUUGAUUUUAGCCCUAGUUGUUGGAUGACGCUCGAUGCUCACGCUCAUCGCCUUCAGCUUUCUCUUUAAUUGCUUUUCAAUUUUGAGUAUACAACGAUGGCAACAGUACUACAAGAACAUUGAUUGCCGGUUAUUAAGUGCUUUUUAUUUCGUUUAAUAUUAUGGAGGUCUAAUUCUUUGUUAUCAAAGAAUUUUCAAAAGUGUUUUUUAGUUCUUAGAAAUGAACAUGUACAACUUUGUUAGCCUAAAAAAUAAUAAUAUGGGCAGCUUUAAUCAAGAAAAAACACAUUUUGC
Long non-coding RNA from Capsicum annuum, 318 nucleotides. RefSeq lists it as uncharacterized. The transcript has 2 exons. Lineage: Eukaryota; Viridiplantae; Streptophyta; Magnoliopsida; Solanales; Solanaceae. The record is from RefSeq and is a predicted model, not a curated record.